AGCGAACGCUGGCGGCAGGCUUAACACAUGCAAGUCGAGCGGGCACUUCGGUGUCAGCGGCAGACGGGUGAGUAACACGUGGGAACGUACCCUUUGGUUCGGAAUAACGCUGGGAAACUAGCGCUAAUACCGGAUACGCCCUUUUGGGGAAAGGCUUGCUGCCGAAGGAUCGGCCCGCGUCUGAUUAGCUAGUUGGUUGGGUAAUGGCCUACCAAGGCGACGAUCAGUAGCUGGUCUGAGAGGAUGAUCAGCCACACUGGGACUGAGACACGGCCCAGACUCCUACGGGAGGCAGCAGUGGGGAAUAUUGGACAAUGGGCGCAAGCCUGAUCCAGCCAUGCCGCGUGAGUGAUGAAGGCCUUAGGGUUGUAAAGCUCUUUUGUCCGGGACGAUAAUGACGGUACCGGAAGAAUAAGCCCCGGCUAACUUCGUG
Molecule: ribosomal RNA, 433 nt
Filed under: uncultured bacterium
Lineage: Bacteria
Description: partial 16S ribosomal RNA
Rfam family: Bacterial small subunit ribosomal RNA
Source: RNAcentral